Molecule: ribosomal RNA, 468 nt
Filed under: uncultured bacterium
Lineage: Bacteria
Description: partial 16S ribosomal RNA
Rfam family: Bacterial small subunit ribosomal RNA
Source: RNAcentral
GACGAACGCUGGCGGCGUGCUUAACACAUGCAAGUCGAACGGACAGGCCCUGCUUUUGUGGGUUGCACGAGUGGCGAACGGGUGAGUAACACGUGAGUAAACUGCCCCUGACUUUGGGAUAACUUCAGGAAACUGGGGAUAAUACCGGGUAGGAGCUACUGCUGCACGGGGGGGGUUGGAAAGUGUCGGCGGUUGGGGAUGGACUCGAGGCUUAUCAGCUUGUUGGUGGGGUAGUGGCUUACCAAGGCUUUGACGGGUAGCCGGCCUGAGAGGGUGGCCGGGCACAUUGGUACUGCGAGACGGCCCAGACUCCUACGGGAGGCAGCAGUGGAGAAUAUUGCGCAAUGGGCGGAAGCCUGAUGCAGCAGCGCCGCGUGCGGAAUGACGGCCUUCGAGUUGUAAACCGCUUUCGCAGGUGACGAAGCGGGAGUGACGGUAAUGGGUAAAGAAGCACCGGCUAACUACGUG